This 316-nucleotide ribosomal RNA is filed under the name uncultured bacterium. RNAcentral's name for it is "bacterial SSU rRNA". It matches the Rfam family "Bacterial small subunit ribosomal RNA", at positions 28 to 346 of the family's 1533-position model. The record is from RNAcentral.
GAUGAACGCUAGCGGGAGGCCUAACACAUGCAAGUCGAACGGGAUUGGUAGCAAUACCAUGAGAGUGGCGCACGGGUGAGUAACGCGUAUGCAACCUGCCUUUAACUGAGGGAUAGCCCAUAGAAAUGUGGAUUAAUACCUCAUAGUUCCUUUUGAGUCGCAUGAUUUGGAAGAUAAAGCUCCGGCGGUUAAAGAUGGGCAUGCGUGACAUUAGCUAGUUGGUGAGGUAACGGCUCACCAAGGCUACGAUGUCUAGGGGUUCUGAGAGGAUGAUCCCCCACACUGGUACUGAGACACGGACCAGACUCCUACGGGA